GAUCAGUGGCUCGAGGACGAACGCUGGCGGCGUGCUUACACAUGCAAGUCGAACGGCAAGAGGUAGCAAUACCUCCUAGAGUGGCGGACUGGUGAGUAACACGUGGGUGACAUACCCUUCAGAUGGGGAUAGCUAUUAGAAAUAGUAGAUAAUACCGAAUACGAGCACAGGGGUUAGAGAUCUGUGAGGAAAGGAGCUAAGGCUCCGCUGAAGGAAUGGCCUGCGGCCCAUUAGCUAGUUGGUGAGGUAAGAGCCCACCAAGGCGAUGAUGGGUAUCCGGCCUUAGAGGGUGAACGGACACAUUGGGACUGAGAUACGGCCCAGACUCCUACGGGAGGCAGCAGCUAAGAAUAUUCCGCAAUGGACGAAAGUCUGACGGAGCGACGCCGCGUGGAUGAAGAAGGCCGGAAGGUUGUAAAAUCCUUUUGAAACUGAAGAAUAAGCGUUGUAGGGAAUGACAGCGUGGUGACAGUAGGUUUUGAAUAAGCAACGGCUAAUUACGUGCCAGCCGCUGC
This 515-nucleotide ribosomal RNA is filed under the name uncultured bacterium. Its description in RNAcentral is "bacterial SSU rRNA". It matches the Rfam family "Bacterial small subunit ribosomal RNA", at positions 26 to 518 of the family's 1533-position model. The record is from RNAcentral.